GACGAACGCUGGCGGCGUGCUUAACACAUGCAAGUCGAACGGAAAGGCCUGCUUUCCCUUGUGGAUUGCGGGUACUCGAGUGGCGAACGGGUGAGUAACACGUGAGUGAUCUGCCCCCAACUUGGGUAUAAGCCUGGGAAACUGGGUCUAAUUCCCGAUAGGACUGCAGGGUGGUGCCUGUGGUGGAAAACGAUUUUCUAGUGGUUGGGGAUGAGCUCGCGGCCUAUCAGCUUGUUGGUGGGGUAAUGGCCUACCAAGGCGGCGACGGGUAGCCGGCCUGAGAGGGUGGACGGCCACAUUGGGACUGAGGUACGGCGCAGACUCGUACGGGAGGCAGCAGUGGGGAAUAUUAGACAAUGGGCGGAAGCCUGAUGCAGCGACGCCGCGUGGGGGAUGACGGCCUUCGGGUUGUAAACUCCUUUCGACCGCGAGGAAGCCACCUGGUUGGAAGGGUGGUGACGGUAGUGGUAGAAGAAGCACCGGCUAACUACGUG
Molecule: ribosomal RNA, 494 nt
Filed under: uncultured bacterium
Lineage: Bacteria
Description: partial 16S ribosomal RNA
Rfam family: Bacterial small subunit ribosomal RNA
Source: RNAcentral